This is a long non-coding RNA of Leopardus geoffroyi (Geoffroy's cat), 138 nucleotides long. RefSeq lists it as uncharacterized. Lineage: Eukaryota; Metazoa; Chordata; Mammalia; Carnivora; Felidae. The record is from RefSeq and is a predicted model, not a curated record. The transcript is spliced from 4 exons.
AGCAAUAAAUUCAUCAUGGGAUCCCAGAGGGAGAAGAGAGAGAGAAAGGGGAAGAAAGAAUAUUUUAAGAAAUAAUGGCUGAAAACAUCCUAAAUGUGAUGAAAGACAUGCGUAUAAAUAUCCAAGAAGGCCAACAAA